UGGGGAAUAUUGGACAAUGGGGGGAACCCUGAUCCAGCCAUGCCGCGUGUGUGAAGAAGGCCUUAUGGUUGUAAAGCACUUUAAGCGAGGAGGAGGGUACUGGUAUUAAUACUACCAGGUACUGGACGUUACUCGCAGAAUAAGCACCGGCUAACUCGGUGCCAGCAGCCGCGGUAAUACAGAGGGUGCGAGCGUUAAUCGGAUUUACUGGGCGUAAAGCGUGCGUAGGCGGCUAAUUGAGUCGGAUGUGAAAUACCCGAGCUUAACUUGGGAAUUGCAUUCGAUACUGGUUAGCUAGAGUGUGGGAGAGGAUGGUAGAAUUCCAGGUGUAGCGGUGAAAUGCGUAGAGAUCUGGAGGAAUACCGAUGGCGAAGGCAGCCAUCUGGCCUAACACUGACGCUGAGGUACGAAAGCAUGGGGAGCAAACAGG
RNAcentral lists this ribosomal RNA (430 nucleotides) under Pseudomonadota bacterium. RNAcentral's name for it is "Proteobacteria bacterium partial 16S ribosomal RNA". It matches the Rfam family "Bacterial small subunit ribosomal RNA", at positions 355 to 776 of the family's 1533-position model. Lineage: Bacteria; Pseudomonadati; Pseudomonadota. The record is from RNAcentral.